Molecule: ribosomal RNA, 477 nt
Filed under: Triticum aestivum (bread wheat)
Lineage: Eukaryota; Viridiplantae; Streptophyta; Magnoliopsida; Poales; Poaceae
Description: partial small subunit ribosomal RNA
Source: RNAcentral
AUGAAUUUGGAUAAUGGACUGAGAAUUAUUGAUAGAGAUGCAGACUGUCUUAGUAUGACUGUUGUUGUGCCAAAGUUCAAGCAUUUCAAGUUGUACAUGGAUCAUGGUGAUAUUUAUAGCGAGCUGAAUAUGGAUGACAUAUGCAUAAUUGGCUCACCUACAAUGCCUGAUAUCAUGAGUCCUGUGAAGCCACAAGAAAAGGUACAAAGAGUUAUAUUAGGAGUAGUCCUAGGAUCAAGAGCAAGGCACAAAAAGGGAGAACUAAAGAACAAGUGCAGAAAAACAAUGACAGUGAUAGUGAUGAUAGUGAUAGUGAUUGUAGUUAUGAAGAUUGGGCUGACUCAGACAAUGACUUUAAGAAUGGCGAUGAUAAUCUGUUUGAGGAGUGGGUUGAUGACUUCAAUAAGGAUCUCAGAGCAAAGAAAAAUAAAGCAGUACAGUACGAGAGGGAUAGUGACUAUGACACUGAUGAGCUAG